This 635-nucleotide ribosomal RNA is filed under the name uncultured bacterium. RNAcentral describes it as "bacterial SSU rRNA". It matches the Rfam family "Bacterial small subunit ribosomal RNA", at positions 788 to 1424 of the family's 1533-position model. The record is from RNAcentral.
UGGUAGUNCACGCCCUAAACGAUGUCGAUUAGCUGUUGGGCAGCUUGACUGCUUAGUAGCGUAGCUAACGCGUGAAAUCGACCGCCUGGGGAGUACGGUCGCAAGAUUAAAACUCAAAGGAAUUGACGGGGACCCGCACAAGCGGUGGAUGAUGUGGAUUAAUUCGAUGCAACGCGAAGAACCUUACCUGGUCUUGACAUGUACGGAACCCUCCAGAGACGGAGGGGUGCCUUCGGGAACCGUAACACAGGUGCUGCAUGGCUGUCGUCAGCUCGUGUCGUAAGAUGUUGGGUUAAGUCCCGCAACGAGCGCAACCCUUGUCAUUAGUUGCCAUCAUUCAGUUGGGCACUCUAAUGAGACUGCCGGUGACAAACCGGAGGAAGGUGGGGAUGACGUCAAGUCCUCAUGGCCCUUAUGACCAGGGCUUCACACGUCAUACAAUGGUCGGUACAAAGGGUAGCCAAGCCGCGAGGCGGAGCCAAUCUCAUAAAACCGAUCGUAGUCCGGAUUGCACUCUGCAACUCGAGUGCAUGAAGUCGGAAUCGCUAGUAAUCGCAGGUCAGCAUACUGCGGUGAAUACGUUCCCGGGUCUUGUACACACCGCCCGUCACACCAUGGGAGUGGGGGAUACCAGA